RNAcentral lists this ribosomal RNA (229 nucleotides) under uncultured bacterium. RNAcentral's name for it is "partial 16S ribosomal RNA". It matches the Rfam family "Bacterial small subunit ribosomal RNA", at positions 568 to 796 of the family's 1533-position model. The record is from RNAcentral.
UGCGCAGGUGGGCUUGUAAGUCAGUGGUGAAAUACUGCCGCUUAACGGUAGAACUGCCAUUGAUACUGCAAGUCUUGAAUAUGGUUGAGGUAGGCGGAAUGUGUCGUGUAGCGGUGAAAUGCAUAGAUAUGACACAGAACGCCGAUUGCGAAGGCAGCUUACUAAGCCAUUAUUGACGCUGAGGCACGAAAGCGUGGGGAGCGAACAGGAUUGGAUACCCUGGUAGUCC